This 253-nucleotide ribosomal RNA is filed under the name uncultured bacterium. RNAcentral describes it as "partial 16S ribosomal RNA". It matches the Rfam family "Bacterial small subunit ribosomal RNA", at positions 524 to 776 of the family's 1533-position model. The record is from RNAcentral.
UACGAAGGGUGCAAGCGUUACUCGGAAUUACUGGGCGUAAAGCGUGCGUAGGCGGUUUGUUAAGUCUGUCGUGAAAGCCCCGGGCUCAACCUGGGAAUGGCGUUGGAUACUGGCGAGCUAGAGUACGGUAGAGGAGAGUGGAAUUCCCGGUGUAGCAGUGAAAUGCGUAGAGAUCGGGAGGAACAUCAGUUGCGAAGGCGGCUCUCUGGACCAGUACUGACGCUGAGGCACGAAAGCGUGGGGAGCAAACAGG